UUGAUCUUUUCUCAAUCAACUUGAAUAUGGGUUCGCACGUGGCUGUUAAAUGAGAUAUGAACCAUGAAAUGUAGUUCAAUCUACCUAAGAAACCACGAACCUCCUUUUCUGUUCUCGGUUCAGGCAUUUCUUGUAUUGCUUUUUUCUUUUCUUUUUUUUCUUUUUUUAGCAGGAUCGACCUCGAUUCCUCUUUCAUUCACAAUAAGCCUCAGCAACUUACCGGACCGCACUCUAAAAGUGCACUUAUUCGGUUUCAACCUCAG
RNAcentral lists this long non-coding RNA (263 nucleotides) under Lathyrus oleraceus (garden pea). Its description in RNAcentral is "Pisum sativum (pea) long non-coding RNA (PSAT_LNC030195)". The record is from RNAcentral. Lineage: Eukaryota; Viridiplantae; Streptophyta; Magnoliopsida; Fabales; Fabaceae.